AACUGAAUAGCUAAUAUGUAUUUUAUUGGGUUAUUUGUUCUUGUGUAACAUCCUAAUAAUUUUCAGAUUAUGCACAAGUCAUAACAUGAAUUUAUUAAUAAAUUUAAUUGUCCACUGACUUUAACCUUUUAACAAAAAAAUAAUACAUCAGUGUAACUAACAGUUUGUUUUCAAAUAAAAUAAUUGAAAUCAUGGGCCAUGAAUGAUGAUUUUAGUGAGACCCUUAUAAGAUAAUACAAGGGCUGGUGUACAAGCAUCUUGCGUUAACGCAGGAUCCGGGGAAGGGCCGCACCCUUAUAAGAUAAUGACAAAUAAAAAUAAAGUAAUCACUCAAGACUAACAUGAAUUCUCACUCUUCUUUUAUGAAUAAUUCACCAUUCACAAAAGUUUAUUCAUAGGACUUUUACAUAUAGUUGAAUGGAAGAACACUAAAAUUCAAGACUUAUUUCUAAUAACUCUGAUCUUUUCCACACCCUCUCCAAUGUCUGGCUGCUCACCAAACUACGCAAAACUCCUAAUAGUAGAUGCCUACAAGUGGAAACUUCGGAAGCCGAAUCUCAGUUGGAUGUCCCUUAUGACAGAUCCUCAUCCUCCUCAUGAUCUGGUUGGACUACAUUGAGUUGCUGGAAGUGCACUGGACUGCCAUUUUGUCCCAGGACAUAUGUACUUUUUUGGGUAAAAAUCUCAAUGUUGGUGCUAGAUCAAGACUCUGCUCCAAUUGACCCAUGAGGAAACAUCUAUGUCCACACUGCUUAGUGGGACAGAAUGGUACCCAAGUGGACUUCAAGCCACUCAACAUGGUUCAACUAAGCCACAGAUUGUGGAAGAGGAAUUGUCAAAAGGGUCCUAUGAUCCACUAGCCAACUGGAAGUGGUUUCUGAAAUCUCCACUUUUUUUGAGUUGUCUGCUGUAACUGUAAUGAGUAGUGGGAGCUCAGUGAGCUGCCGCAGACAUGAGAGAGGGUGUAGAAGUUGUCAUUGUUAUCAGAAAUAGCCUUGAAUAUUCUUGUAAAUGAGUAUUUAUGUUAGUCUUGAGUGAUUACUUUAUGCAUGUUUGUUAUC
This is a non-coding RNA of Arachis ipaensis, 1061 nucleotides long. Lineage: Eukaryota; Viridiplantae; Streptophyta; Magnoliopsida; Fabales; Fabaceae. The record is from RefSeq and is a predicted model, not a curated record.